This 353-nucleotide ribosomal RNA is filed under the name uncultured bacterium. RNAcentral describes it as "partial 16S ribosomal RNA". It matches the Rfam family "Bacterial small subunit ribosomal RNA", at positions 338 to 689 of the family's 1533-position model. The record is from RNAcentral.
CCUACGGGGUGCAGCAGUGAGGAAUAUUGGUCAAUGGACGCAAGUCUGAACCAGCCAUGCCGCGUGCAGGAAGACGGCUCUAUGAGUUGUAAACUGCUUUUGUACGAGGGUAAACGCAGAUACGUGUAUCUGUCUGAAAGUAUCGUACGAAAAAGCAUCGGCUAACUCCGUUCCAGCAGCCGCGGUAAUACGGAGGAUGCGAGCGUUAUCCGGAUUUAUUGGGUUUAAAGGGUGGGCAGGCGGUCGGUUAAGUCAGCGGUCAAAUCCCGGGGAUCAACCCCGGCCCGCCGUUGAAACUGGCAGUCUCGAGUUGGAGAGAAGUAUGCGGAAUGCGCGGUGUAGCGGUGAAAUGC